GGGCUGCUGGUCCAAUGGGAAGACACCUGACUUGCAAUCAGGUAAUCGGGGUUCGACUCCCCGGCGGUCCA
This is a transfer RNA of Candidatus Entotheonella sp., 71 nucleotides long. It matches the Rfam family "tRNA". From Rfam's summary of the family: Transfer RNA (tRNA) molecules are approximately 80 nucleotides in length. Their secondary structure includes four short double-helical elements and three loops (D, anti-codon, and T loops). NCBI's taxonomy places the organism in Bacteria, Pseudomonadati, Candidatus Tectimicrobiota, Candidatus Entotheonellia, Candidatus Entotheonellales, Candidatus Entotheonellaceae. The record is from Rfam.